UACGAAGGGGGCUAGCGUUGUUCGGAAUCACUGGGCGUAAAGCGUAUGUAGGCGGAUUGUUAAGUCAGGGGUGAAAUCCCGAGGCUCAACCUCGGAACUGCCUUUGAUACUGGCUGUCUUGAGUCCGGGAGAGGUGAGUGGAACUCCUAGUGUAGAGGUGAAAUUCGUAGAUAUUAGGAAGAACACCAGUGGCGAAGGCGGCUCACUGGCCCGGUACUGACGCUGAGGUGCGAAAGCGUGGGGAGCGAACAGG
RNAcentral lists this ribosomal RNA (253 nucleotides) under uncultured bacterium. Its description in RNAcentral is "partial 16S ribosomal RNA". It matches the Rfam family "Bacterial small subunit ribosomal RNA", at positions 524 to 776 of the family's 1533-position model. The record is from RNAcentral.